This 442-nucleotide ribosomal RNA is filed under the name uncultured bacterium. Its description in RNAcentral is "partial 16S ribosomal RNA". It matches the Rfam family "Bacterial small subunit ribosomal RNA", at positions 338 to 795 of the family's 1533-position model. The record is from RNAcentral.
CCUACGGGGGGCAGCAGUAGGGAAUCUUUCACAAUGGGCGAAAGCCUGAUGGAGCAACGCCGCGUGCAGGAUGAAGGCCUUCGGGUUGUAAACUGCUUUUAUAAGCGAGAAAUAUGAUGGUAACUUAUGAAUAAGGAUCGGCUAACUACGUGCCAGCAGCCGCGGUCAUACGUAGGAUCCGAGCAUUAUCCGGAGUGACUGGGUGUAAAGAGUUGCGUAGGUGGCAUGAUAAGUAGCUAGUGAAAUCUGGUGGCGCAACCAUUCAGACUAUUAGCUAAACUGUUAAGCUCGAGACCGGUAGGGGUAACUGGAAUUUCUAGUGUAGGAGUGAAAUCCGUAGAUAUUAGAAGGAACACCAAUAGCGUAGGCAGGUUGCUGGGACGGUUCUGACACUAAGGCACGAAAGCGUAGGGAGCAAACGGGAUUAGAUACCCUGGUAGUC